RNAcentral lists this ribosomal RNA (1459 nucleotides) under uncultured Bordetella sp. Its description in RNAcentral is "partial 16S-23S ribosomal RNA intergenic spacer". It matches the Rfam family "Bacterial small subunit ribosomal RNA". Lineage: Bacteria; Pseudomonadati; Pseudomonadota; Betaproteobacteria; Burkholderiales; Alcaligenaceae. The record is from RNAcentral.
GGUUUGAUUAUGGCUCAGAUUGAACGCUGGCGGUUGUUUUUACACAUGCAAGUCGAACGGCAGCACGGACUUCGGUCUGGUGGCGAGUGGCGAACGGGUGAGUAAUGUAUCGGAACAUGCCUAGUAGCGGGGGAUAACUACGCGAAAGCAGUAGCUGAUAUCGGUACACAUUCCUCGUGAAAGCGGGGGAUCUCUUCGGGCCUCUGCACUAUUAGAGCGGCCGAUAUCGAUUUAGCUUAGUUGGUGGGUAACGGUCACCGAAAGGCGACGAUCCGUAGCUGGUUUGAGAGACGACCAGCCACUGGGACUGAGACAAUACCCAGACUCCUACGAGUAAGCAGGGGAAUUUUGGACAAUGGGGGAACUCUGAUCCAGCCAUCCUCGUGCAAAGACGUGAAGGCCUUUCGGGUUGUAAAGCACUUUUGGCAGGAAGAAACGGCACGUGGAUAAUACUCCCGUGCAACUGAUGUACCGCAGAACAAGCACCGCUUACGUGCCAGCAGCCGCGUAAUACAGGGUGCAAGCGUUAAUCGGAAUUACUGGGCGUAAAGCGUGCGCAGGCGGUUCUGGUGUUACGUAAACUUGUGAGCUUAAACUUCUGAACUGCAUUUUUAACUACCGAGCUAGAGUGUACAGAGGGAGGUGGAAUUCCGCGUGUGGCAGUGAAAUGCGUAGAUAAGGUGGUGGAGGAACGCCUCGAUGGCGAAGGCAGCCUCCUGGGAUAACACUGACGCUCAUGCACGAAAAGCAUGGGGAGCAAACAGGAUUAGAUACCCUGUGUCCACGCCCUAAACGAUGUCAACUAGCUGUUGGGGCCUUCGGGCCUUGGUAGCAGCUAACGGGUAGUUGACCGCCUGGGGAGUACGUCGCAAGAUUAGAAAAACUCAAAGGAAUUGACGGGGACCCGCACGCCGGUGGAUGAUGGGGAUUAAUCAUGCAACGCGAAAACCUUACCUACCCUUGACAUGUCUGGAACCUGAAGAGAUUGGGGAGUGUGCUCGCAAGAGAACCGGAACACAGGUGCUGCAUGGCUGUCGUCAGCUCGUGUCGAGAUGUUGGGUUAAGUCCUACAACGAGCGCAACCCUUGUCAUUAGUUGCUACGAAAGGGCACUCGACGAGACCGCUGGCGACAAACUGGAGGAAGGUGGGGAUGACGUCAAGUCCUACAUCUCUUAUAAGUAGGGCUUCACACGUCAUACAAUGGUCGGGACAGAGGGUCGCCAACCCGCGAGGGGGAGCCGCAUCCAGAAACCCUGAUCGUAGUCCGGAUCGCAGUCUGCAACCGACUCGCGUGAAGUCGAAUCGCUGGUAAUCGCGGAUCAGCAUGUCGCGGUGAAUACGUUCCUUGUACACACCGCCCGUCACACCAUGGGGAGUGGUCACCAGAAGGUUAGCCGAACUGCAGAGGGCGAUUACCACGGUAGGAUUCAUACACUAAAGGAAGUCGUAACAAGGUAG